UACGUAGGGGGCGAGCGUUAUCCGGAUUUACUGGGUGUAAAGGGAGCGUAGACGGUCUGACAAGUCUGAAGUGAAAGCCCGCGGCUCAACCGCGGAACGGCUUUGGAAACUGUGAGGCUGGAGUGCUGGAGAGGUAAGCGGAAUUCCUAGUGUAGCGGUGAAAUGCGUAGAUAUUAGGAGGAACACCAGUGGCGAAGGCGGCUUACUGGACAGUAACUGACGUUGAGGCUCGAAAGCGUGGGGAGCAA
Molecule: ribosomal RNA, 248 nt
Filed under: uncultured Lachnospiraceae bacterium
Lineage: Bacteria; Bacillati; Bacillota; Clostridia; Lachnospirales; Lachnospiraceae
Description: partial 16S ribosomal RNA
Rfam family: Bacterial small subunit ribosomal RNA
Source: RNAcentral